Molecule: long non-coding RNA, 1414 nt
Filed under: Nicotiana tabacum (common tobacco)
Lineage: Eukaryota; Viridiplantae; Streptophyta; Magnoliopsida; Solanales; Solanaceae
Description: long non-coding RNA (NTAB_LNC011635)
Source: RNAcentral
AACAAUUGUAAUUCAUUCAGCUUCAAACUAGGAAAAAAUCAGAAAGAAAAACCAAAAUGUUGAAAAUUCGAUUCAUACUUGAAGACUCAUUAUACUACUAUGAUUUACAAAAGAAAAAUAACAAAGGUGUGCAUUUAUACUACAAUUCAUGAGAGAAACUUUAUAACUAAACUAAACUACUGGGCCUAAAGCCCAAGCCCAAUAUCCUAGGCCCCUGAAAGCUUGGACCAAUCACUGCCUGCUAUGUGAGUUCUUCCAUCGGGAGUCAAAGCUGGGUAUGGUCAAAUUCCACAGAUAUGGGCCUGAAUAUUUACCAGGCCCAAUAUGUACAUUACAUGAAAUUCAAAGCAUUUAACAGACCUUCCUUUACAAAAUGAGAUCCCCAUUUAGUUCAAUGUUAAAACAACCAGUCCUGAAUACAUUUGAUAGGAGAAAUCGAUGCUAAAAAAACUAAAACGAGUUAAUUACAUGAAGAGCCUUAUAAGCAUAAAAACAACUUUAAAAUUUUGGCUAAAACUUAAAGAUAAAAACGUACACAGUUAUCAUGCUGCCUUCUGUAGAAUUGACAUGAAAAGCUGCCUUGAUUUAAAUUGCACCUUGGAUGGCUUUGAACAACUUGUGGUCAAACCAAACAAGUUAGCCUUCUGGACUGUAUCAAACCAAAAAGCACACACUACUUAAUACUUACUACACUUAAAGAAAACUGAGUUUUAAGUAGGUGGUCACAUAGGAACUAGGUUAAAUGGAAAUGAUCAAACAAACCAGUAAAGCACACACCAAAACAUCUCAAGGAGUCAUGGACAUUUAAAACAAGCAAAUGAACUGAUAAGGUCUUUAAAACACCAGUUUUACAUUCAGCUUUUCCAAGCAAAUAGUUACAGAAGGUAAAAGGAACACACCUAAAUGCAGAAAUAGGCUGAUAAAAGACCAAAUAAAGGUCAAAAAACCAAAAUAAUCAAAACUAGCCCAGCAAACCACAAACUUAGAAGAAACAACUUAACAGUGCUGAAAAACCAACGGAAUCAAGUAGCAAAACAGCAGUAUCACAGCAGUCUCAACUCAAACCAUCUUGCAACCAAAAGCCCAGAAAUUUUGAAAGAGAAAUAUUCUGAGUAUUCUUCUAAGUUUUUGCAAAAUCAGAUGUGCUUUUCAGAGGUUUUGUGUAGAGAAAUCAGGCUGAGUCUGUAUUUUAUUUUUGAGUAAACUUAGAAUGAGAAAAAAUGCAGAGAACUUUUAGGUCUUUUUUAGGUUAUCCAAAUCUCAAUCAAUUUUUUUGUAUAGAAAUGGUACCAUAUAUAGGUACCAAAGAUGCCAUGUGCUGUAGGAAUUAUUCCUCAGCCACAAAAAGCAUAUUCCAACAGAAUUGGAUAGCUGGUUUUCCCUUAUUGCUUUCAGUACUUUGUACUAACCAAAU